This is a long non-coding RNA of Eriocheir sinensis (Chinese mitten crab), 909 nucleotides long. RefSeq lists it as uncharacterized. NCBI's taxonomy places the organism in Eukaryota, Metazoa, Arthropoda, Malacostraca, Decapoda, Varunidae. The record is from RefSeq and is a predicted model, not a curated record. The transcript is spliced from 3 exons.
UCGAGGUCAGCAGCUACACCAGGAGCAGCAGCAGGAGGGACCACAGCCUCACCCCCGGCCACAUCAGCAUCAGCAGCAGCAGCAGGAACAGCCGCCGCCCCAGCUACAGCCUCCUCGGCAGACACGUCACCGCCACGCGAAUUGGACGCACGCUGAAACGCUCUCCCUUGUACAGCUCUAUAGGGAGAAAGCAGCCAUCAUCAAGGGAAAUUUUUCCGACAAUGGCUGCUCUGCUGAGGCGAAGGCUUGGGGCAGAAUUGUCUCUCGCCUAGCGGCACUCCACCCUGGCUUCAGUAGAUGCAUAAAGCAGUGCCAGAGACGCUGGCAAACUGUUAUGCAGGAAGCAAAAGCUAAAAUUAGUGCCUACCAAAAGGCCAGGAAUGGAACAGGUGGUGGCCUUCCGCCUAAACCCCUCGGGGAGCUAGAGGUCAUCAUCGCUGAUGUGCUGGGAGAGGGGAACGUCUCAGUCAAUUCUAUUGACAGGACAGUGGUGGACCCUUUUCCACUUGACACUGAAGAUGUUCCCGAAAAUGGGAGUCUUCAGGUGGAUGUCACACCACCUGUCCCUCCCCAACCCAGCACAGACACACCUCAAACCACCACCACACCACCACCAGUAGUUCCUGCCGCUGCAGCUUCCUCCAGUACACCAGUUGGGACCUGCACCAUGUUGGUGGAUGAGGAGGAGCUGCAGUUCAUCCACCUGAAGAGGGAACUUGAUCUGCAGGCUUCAGAGUUACAAGUAGAAAUAAAACAGGCAGAAUUAAAAAAACUUAAACAAGAAACUGAAAAUUUAAAAGUACAAAAACCCUACUCGAACUGCAAGUAAAAAAACUCAUGUAACACGCAAAUACACUCCACCAUGCCGCUGCUACCCCACACACUCUACCCUGUCUCUCCUCUCUUUUG